This 497-nucleotide ribosomal RNA is filed under the name uncultured bacterium. Its description in RNAcentral is "partial 16S ribosomal RNA". It matches the Rfam family "Bacterial small subunit ribosomal RNA", at positions 28 to 507 of the family's 1533-position model. The record is from RNAcentral.
GAUGAACGCUGGCGGCGUGCCUAGUACAUGCAAGUCGAGCGAACGGACGAGAAGCUUGCUUCUCUGAUGUUAGCGGCGGACGGGUGAGUAACACGUGGAUAACCCACCUAUAAGACUGGGAUAACUUCGGGAAACCGGAGCUAAUACCGGAUAAUAUUUUGAACCGCAUGGUUCAAAAGUGAAAGACGGUCUUGCUGUCACUUAUAGAUGGAUCCGCGCUGCAUUAGCUAGUUGGUAAGGUAACGGCUUACCAAGGCAACGAUGCAUAGCCGACCUGAGAGGGUGAUCGGCCACACUGGAACUGAGACACGGUCCAGACUCCUACGGGAGGCAGCAGUAGGGAAUCUUCCGCAAUGGGCGAAAGCCUGACGGAGCAACGCCGCGUGAGUGAUGAAGGUCUUCGGAUCGUAAAACUCUGUUAUUAGGGAAGAACAUAUGUGUAAGUAACUGUGCACAUCUUGACGGUACCUAAUCAGAAAGCCACGGCUAACUACGUG